Molecule: long non-coding RNA, 118 nt
Organism: Sapajus apella (tufted capuchin)
Lineage: Eukaryota; Metazoa; Chordata; Mammalia; Primates; Cebidae
Exons: 2
Source: RefSeq, a predicted model, not a curated record
ACAGUGGCUCGUGCCUGUAAUCCCAGCACUUUGGGAGGCCGAGGCAGAUGAAUCAUGAGAUCAGUAGAUCAAGAUCAUCUCGGCCAACAUGGUGAAACCCCAUCUCUACUAAAAAUAC